Molecule: ribosomal RNA, 463 nt
Filed under: uncultured bacterium
Lineage: Bacteria
Description: SSU rRNA
Rfam family: Bacterial small subunit ribosomal RNA
Source: RNAcentral
AGGAUUAACGCUGGCGGCGUGCCUAACACAUGCAAGUCGAACGAGGUAGCAAUACCUAGUGGCAGACGGGUGAGUAGCGCGUGGUCAACCUACCGUUGAGUGGGGGAUAACUAGCCGAAAGGUUAGCUAAUACCGCAUACGUCUCCGAGGGGCAUCCCUUGGCGAUAAAAGGAGCAAUCCGCUCGAUGACGGGACCGCGUCCCAUUAGCUAGUUGGUGGGGUAACGGCCUACCAAGGCGUCGAUGGGUAGCUGGUUUGAGAGAGCGACCAGCCACACUGGGACUGAGAUACGGCCCAGACUCCUACGGGAGGCAGCAGUGAGGAAUUUUCCGCAAUGGGCGAAAGCCUGACGGAGCGACGCCGCGUGUGGGAAGAAGGCCUUCGGGUCGUAAACCACUGUCGAAGGGGAAGAUAAUGACGGUACCCUUGGAGGAGCCCCGGCUAACUACGUGCCAGCAGCCGC